UGGAAUUGUUGGUGAUGCUGGUGUUAGAGCAAAUGCACAACAACCAAAACUCUUUGUUGGUAUGAUCUUGAUUCUUAUUUUUGCUGAGGCGUUGGCUUUGUAUGGACUGAUUGUCGGCAUCAUCCUUUCUUCCCGUGCUGGCCAAUCUAGAGCAGAAUAGAUGAAAAUAAUGUAUUUUCAGGUUUAUGAUGGAAUCUUUUUCAUCAUUGUGCUUGCAGCUUGAUAACCGAUGCUAGUCGUUAGGUGCAUCUUCUCUUUUCCUUUUUCUUCUCCUUUUCCUUUUCCUUCACACAUUGUGUGUUCCCCCGGUGUUUGUAGAUUUGGGAGCUGCCUUUUCCCUGUAUGUGUGACCAAGAGAACGUUCUCUCGAUUUUACCUUUACUGUAUUUUCCAAUAAUGAGUCGCAUCUUGUUGCUUGAAUGCUGAUACGAUUGUAUUAUUAUUGGUGGAAUGUAAUGGUACACCUGAAUAUAUGAAAUCCACCUUGAUCAUUG
This 494-nucleotide unclassified non-coding RNA is filed under the name Hevea brasiliensis (rubber tree). The record is from RNAcentral. Lineage: Eukaryota; Viridiplantae; Streptophyta; Magnoliopsida; Malpighiales; Euphorbiaceae.